CCCCGCCCUUUUUAGAUUUUUUGACCCUGCUCAGGACGAACGCUGGCGGCGUGCCUAAUACAUGCAAGUCGAGCGGACAGAUGGGAGCUUGCUCCCUGAUGUUAGCGGCGGACGGGUGAGUAACACGUGGGUAACCUGCCUGUAAGACUGGGAUAACUCCGGGAAACCGGGGCUAAUACCGGAUGGUUGUCUGAACCGCAUGGUUCAGACAUAAAAGGUGGCUUCGGCUACCACUUACAGAUGGACCCGCGGCGCAUUAGCUAGUUGGUGAGGUAACGGCUCACCAAGGCGACGAUGCGUAGCCGACCUGAGAGGGUGAUCGGCCACACUGGGACUGAGACACGGCCCAGACUCCUACGGGAGGCAGCAGUAGGGAAUCUUCCGCAAUGGACGAAAGUCUGACGGAGCAACGCCGCGUGAGUGAUGAAGGUUUUCGGAUCGUAAAGCUCUGUUGUUAGGGAAGAACAAGUGCCGUUCAAAUAGGGCGGCACCUUGACGGUACCUAACCAGAAAGCCACGGCUAACUACGUGCCAGCAGCCGCGGUAAUACGUAGGUGGCAAGCGUUGUCCGGAAUUAUUGGGCGUAAAGGGCUCGCAGGCGGUUUCUUAAGUCUGAUGUGAAAGCCCCCGGCUCAACCGGGGAGGGUCAUUGGAAACUGGGGAACUUGAGUGCAGAAGAGGAGAGUGGAAUUCCACGUGUAGCGGUGAAAUGCGUAGAGAUGUGGAGGAACACCAGUGGCGAAGGCGACUCUCUGGUCUGUAACUGACGCUGAGGAGCGAAAGCGUGGGGAGCGAACAGGAUUAGAUACCCUGGUAGUCCACGCCGUAAACGAUGAGUGCUAAGUGUUAGGGGGUUUCCGCCCCUUAGUGCUGCAGCUAACGCAUUAAGCACUCCGCUGGAGACCGCCCCGUG
This 913-nucleotide ribosomal RNA is filed under the name Bacillus subtilis. RNAcentral describes it as "bacterial SSU rRNA". It matches the Rfam family "Bacterial small subunit ribosomal RNA". Lineage: Bacteria; Bacillati; Bacillota; Bacilli; Caryophanales; Bacillaceae. The record is from RNAcentral.